Molecule: ribosomal RNA, 738 nt
Filed under: Triticum aestivum (bread wheat)
Lineage: Eukaryota; Viridiplantae; Streptophyta; Magnoliopsida; Poales; Poaceae
Description: partial small subunit ribosomal RNA
Source: RNAcentral
AUGUUAACGAUGAUGAGGACACAGAUGCGGAUGAAUCAGAGGAGGAGGACAAGGAGGAGGAUGAAAAAGAAGAAGAUGCAGAGGAGGAGGAGGAGGAGGAGAAAGAAGAGGAGGACAAAGAAGAAGAGGACAAAGGAGAGGAGGAGGACAAGGAAGAAGAUAGUGAGGCAAAGGAGGAGGAAGAAGAAGAUGAGGCCAAAGAGGGGGACGGGGACAAAGGUGCAGCAGUUGAUGGCAGUGAGGGGGGAGAAGACAAAGGUGCAACAGUUGAUGGUAGUGAGGGGGAAGAAGAUGACGAUGAAGAAGACGAGGAUGGUGAUGGUGAUGAUCAAGGGGGAUCCGAUGGAGGAGGGAGGGGGGCAUUAUUGGGUCUUCAAUGGCAACUUGAGGGACGGACGCUUCGAAGUUCUUGAUUCAAGCAGGAUGUUGGACAACAUUGAGCUGAUGACCACCGCCUCUACCAUCGUGGGGGCAGUACGCCAGCUAUGGAGGAAGCAUUACCCAAAGUUCAGCAUCGAGCACUUCCAGAUUAUUGACAUUGACGUACCGAAGCAGCUCGGCAACAAUGAGUGUGGGCUGUUCGGACUGCUUAACGCCACCGAGUGGAACGGUAGCCAACUGCCCAACUACGAUCCCAAGGAAGUACUCAACAUCAGGAAGAAGCUGGCAUAUGAUUGGGUCACCAGCCCACACAACUCUGCACCAUGGAGGAAAUUGCUCAGAUACGACAAGGACUAG